Molecule: small RNA, 26 nt
Filed under: Arabidopsis thaliana (thale cress)
Lineage: Eukaryota; Viridiplantae; Streptophyta; Magnoliopsida; Brassicales; Brassicaceae
Description: ATSL019160
Source: RNAcentral
UUUUGUUAGUUUUUUUUUGUGUUGUU